Molecule: ribosomal RNA, 465 nt
Filed under: uncultured bacterium
Lineage: Bacteria
Description: partial 16S ribosomal RNA
Rfam family: Bacterial small subunit ribosomal RNA
Source: RNAcentral
GACGAACGCUGGCGGCGUGCUUAACACAUGCAAGUCGAACGGCGAACUCCGCUUGCGGGGGGAUCAGUGGCGAACGGGUGAGUAACACGUGGGCAACCUGCCCUCAGCUCUGGGAUAACUCCAAGAAAUUGGGGCUAAUACCGGAUAUGACCGCUGACCGCAUGGUCUGGUGGUGGAAAGAUUUAUCGGCUGGGGAUGGGCCCGCGGCCUAUCAGCUUGUUGGUGGGGUAGUGGCCUACCAAGGCGACGACGGGUAGCCGGCCUGAGAGGGUGACCGGCCACACUGGGACUGAGACACGGCCCAGACUCCUACGGGAGGCAGCAGUGGGGAAUAUUGCGCAAUGGGCGAAAGCCUGACGCAGCGACGCCGCGUGGGGGAUGACGGCCUUCGGGUUGUAAACCUCUUUCAGCAGGGACGAAGCGAAAGUGACGGUACCUGCAGAAGAAGCACCGGCCAACUACGUG